Molecule: ribosomal RNA, 301 nt
Filed under: uncultured bacterium
Lineage: Bacteria
Description: partial 16S ribosomal RNA
Rfam family: Bacterial small subunit ribosomal RNA
Source: RNAcentral
CAGCAGCCACGGGAACACGGAGGGUGCAAGCGUUAAUCGGAAUUACUGGGCGUAAAGCGCACGCAGGCGGUCUGACAAGUCAGAUGUGAAAUCCCCGGGCUUAACCUGGGAACUGCAUUUGAAACUGUCAGGCUGGAGUCUUGUAGAGGGGGGUGGAAUUCCAGGUGUAGCGGUGAAAUGCGUAGAGAUCUGGAGGAAUACCGGUGGCGAAGGCGGCCCCCUGGACAAAGACUGACGCUCAGGUGCGAAAGCGUGGGGAGCAAACAGGAUUAGAUACCCGCGUAGUUCCUGUCUCUUAUAA